Molecule: long non-coding RNA, 4471 nt
Filed under: Malus domestica (apple)
Lineage: Eukaryota; Viridiplantae; Streptophyta; Magnoliopsida; Rosales; Rosaceae
Description: long non-coding RNA (MDOM_LNC007148)
Source: RNAcentral
CGAAAUAUAUGGGGGAUUUGUAUCUCUUGACGUACUUAAGCCUGAGGAAUACAAAGGUGGAGUUGCUUCCAGACUCCAUAGGCAAUCUGCUAAAUUUAGAAACGCUGGAUCUAAAACAGUCUUUGGUGUAUGAUAUAUUGAGAGACCUAACCCAGUCACAAUUUAGUUACAACAGUAAAUAGUUAGUUGUGGUAUUUGUGUAAUUAGUUGUAGAAGAUAAGGUCACUUAUGUAAAGAGUCUUAGUGACUAUAUAUAUCUCAAUGUACUAUCAGUUAAAAUAUAAUGAGAAAUAUCUUCUUCAACAUUUCUACAUGGUAUCAGAGAACUUUGAGCAGUGGUUUGAAAAAGACCAAAACCUCUUGAUUUGGCUCAACUCGACUUUAUCCGAAGAUCUCAUUCCCUUCACGGUAGGGGUGUCCACAUCUCGAGAACUUUGGCAGAAGCUUGAACAACGCUUUGGUGGCGUCUCUGAAGCUCACAUUCACCAGCUUCGUUCUCGUCUUCAAUUGAUUCAAAAAGGAUCUCAAUCGAUCUCGGAAUAUCUACAGCAAAUCAAGGAAAUUUCGGAUUCUCUCAAUGCUGCUGGCGCCACUGUAUCUGAUCGUGAUCUCAUUGCCGCAACGCUUCACGGUCUUCCUGAUGAAUUUGAGUCCUUUAUUGACUCCAUCAUGCUGCGGUUGUCUUCUACUUCUCUUGAUGAAUUGCAUGGUCUGUUGCUGACCAAAGAGCUUUCCCUGGCUCGUCGCAAGCACACUCUGUCUCCCACUGCUACGGAGCCCUUUCAAGCUUUCUCUGUUCAGUCUCAAGCACCUUUGCUCCCAACGCCUUUUUCGCAGGCUUUUGCUGCAUAUAGUCAGCCUCUUCAAUCUUCUUCUCGGUAUAAUUCUAACAGAGGCCGGAACAAUCGCAAUUUUUUCCGAGGCAAUCGAAAUGUCAGUAAUUCACAAGUCAGCCUCGUACCUUUCAUCAAGGCUCCCGAUCUAACAACCAAGGUUCUUCAUCAAAUCAUAAGAACACCUGUCAAAUAUGUGGUUCCACCAGCCACGAAGCAAUUGAUUGUUUUGAUAGGAUGAAUCCUGAGAUCUUUGGCCGGGUGCCACCAGCCAAACUUGCUGCUCUUUGUGCUCACUACUCAUCCAAACCAUCCCCAUCUUGGCUAUUGGAUUCUGGAGCCACCUCACAUAUCACGAAUGACAUUGCAAAUCUCUCUGUUGCCUCUCCUUACACUGGUGAAGACAAGGUCUAUAUAGGAGAUGGUAAAGGUCUGCCUAUUCACAAUAUUGGUAUCUCUUCUUUAGAUACAUCUCAUACUUCCUUCAAGUUGCGUAAUGUCUUACAUGUACCUGCUAUGAAACACAACUUAUUAUCUGCCUAUCAAUUUUUAAAAGAUAAUAAUUGUGCCUUGACUCUUGACCCUGAUGGAUCCACUGUAAAGGAUCGAGUUUCGGGGAAGACGCUUUUGCGGGGACGAGUUGAAGAUGGCUUAUAUCCUCUUCAAGGCUCUAGUCAUCCCACCUCCUCAUCACCCUCGGCUUUAAUAAGUGUCAAAGCUCCUGUCCAAAUUUGGCACCGAAGAUUGGGUCAUCCAUCUUCCUCUAUUUUUCGCAAGGUUCUUUCAGGAAAUAAGCUUGUCGUGCAAGGCAAAACCUGCUGGUGAUCUUUUCUGCUCAGAUUGUGCUUUAGCUAAGAGUCACAAGCUUCCUUUUGGUUCUGCCAGUUCUACAAGUACUCACAGUCUGCAACUACUACACUGUGAUUUUGGGGUCCUGCCUCCAUCACUUCUCCUAGUGGCUUUAAGUACUACUUGUUGCUUGUAGAUGAUUUCAGUAGAUAUAGUUGGUUAUUUCCAUUAAAGGCAAAAUCUGAUGCCUAUUCUACUUUUGUUGUAUUCAAACAAUAUGUAGAAAAUCUCCUUGGAAAUAAAAAUCAAAAUUUUGCAGUCAGAUUCAGGGGGUGAAUUCAUUGGUGCUCAGUUUGAGUCUUUUCUUCACACUCAUGGUAUUAUUCAUCGUUUAACCUGUCCUCACACUCCUGAACAAAAUGGCUGUGCUGAAAGAAAACACCGCCAUAUUGUGGAAACUGCCCGCACAUUACUGGUUGCUUCUAAUGUUCCACAUCUUUAUUGGGUGGAAGCUUUUUCCACGGCUGUGUAUCUUAUUAACAGGUUGCCAAUCUCUGGCCUCUCUACAUCUCCUUGGGAAUUACUCUUCUUCAAGCCACCUGAUUACUCCAGACUCAAAGUCUUUGGCUGUCGAUGUUUCCCGUGGCUCAAACCUUAUACUCAUUCCUAGCUGGACGCUAAAAGCAAAAGCUGUGUGUUUCUGGGGUACAGUUUACAGCACAAAGGUUAUAGAUGCCUUGAUCCAGUCACUAAUCGUCUCUACAUUUCCAGACAUGUGCAGUUUGAUGAAGCCACAUAUCCUUUUCAGUCUUCUCCUACCAUCCCUGGUCUGUCUUCAGACUCUGUUACCGCUCCCAUUGAUCUGCAGUUCUCCGUUUCUCAACAUCCUGGUGUUCUUCCUGGCCCUUUGGUUCCAGAUUCAAGUCUACACGUUGGCCAUACUCCAGAGUCCAUUUCUCCUACUGCUGCUCCAAGUACAGAUUCUCUGAAUAAUGCAUCUGUAUCUUCUCCUGCAACAACUAUGUCCCUGCCCCCUUCCAAUACUCACCCCAUGCUCACUCGCUCCAAAGCUGGUAUCUUCAAGCCCAAAGUUUAUGCAGCUACCAAACAUCCUCUUCCAUCUGCUAUUGACUUUAUUCCAUCUACAUAUCUGCAAGCAUCCAAACAUGCUCAUUGGAGAUCUGCCAUGCAAGAUGAGUUUAAUGCAUUACAAUCAACAGGCACCUGGACCCUUGUUCCUCCAUCUUCCUCCUACAAUGUGGUUGGCUGCAAGUGGGUGUUCCGAAUCAAGAAGAAACCUGAUGGUUCUGUUGAGCGCUUUAAAGCUCGUUUAGUUGCAAAGGGGUAUCAUCAACAGGAAGGUAUCGAUUUUCAAGAGACCUUCAGUCCUGUGGCUAAACCAGUCACCAUUAGAAUCCUUUUGUCUCUUGCUGUGCAGUUCAAUUGGUUUCUAAAUCAGUUAGACAUCAGUAAUGCCUUUCUUCAUGGUGAUUUGAAGGAAGAUGUGUACAUGCAGCAGCCUCCCGGUUUCUCUGAUCCUUCUAUGCCGCAUCAUGUCUGCAAAUUAAGGAAAUCCCUUUAUGGUCUCAAACAAGCCCCUCGGGCUUGGUUUGACAAACUGUUUCAAGCUCUUCUUCAGCUUGGUUUUCAGCAAUCUUCCUCAGAUGCUUCCUUAUUUGUUCUCCCUGGUCCUACUCCUGUCAUGGUGCUUGUGUAUGUAGAUGAUAUAUUAGUCACUGGACCUGACUCUUCCUUAUGCAGUCUCUUCAUUCAAAAUCUCGGUACUAUUUUUCCAGUCAAGGAUUUGGGUCCACUACACUACUUCCUGGGUUUAGAAAUUCAUAGAUCUUCCACAGGUCUCUUCCUCCAUCAAACAAAGUAUUUACUUGAUCUUCUCCGGAAAACUAAUAUGGCUGGUGCGAAGCCUUGCUGCACUCCCCUUGGCUCUAACAAAUUGGAUCACAGUGGUCCUCUUUUCUCUCAUCCCACUGAGUAUCGUUCCAUUGUUGGUGGUUUACAUUUGACAUGGACACGUCCAGAUAUUUCGUUUGCUGUGAAUCAAAUCUGUCAGUUCAUGCAUGCUCCUCGAGACCAACACAUGCAAGCUGCCAAACGGAUUCUUCGUUAUCUCAAGGGUACUGUCUCUGAAGGUCUAUGGUUCAGAAAGGGUACCACUAAUCUCACAGCCUUCUCCGAUGCAGACUGGGCUGGCUGUCUCUUUGAUCGCCGUUCUACUAGUGGUUACAAUGUCUUUCUCGGAUCCAAUCUUAUCAGUUGGAGUGCCAAGAAACAGGCUACUGUGGCACGGUCCUCCACAGAGGCGGAAUACAGAUCUCUAGCCCACACUGCAGCUGAACUGACUUGGAUCUGUAAAAAUUUUCGUGACCUUGGUUUUCCUCUCUCUCAGGCUCCCACUCUCUGGUGUGAUAACAUUUCAGCCAUCUCUCUUGCUUCUAAUCCGGUCUUUCAUGCCCGAACUAAACAUGUGGAGAUUGACUAUCAUUAUAUUCGUGAGUUGGUCUUAGCUAAUCUCAUCAAGGUUCACUUUGUUUGUAGUCAGGAUCAGCUUGCUGACAUACACACCAAGUCUAUGUCCAAAAGUCGUUUUGCUGCUCUCAAGUCCAAGCUUCCUCUUGUUUCUUCAAUUGAUCCCAAGCUCAGCUUGCGGGGGUGUAUUGAGAGACCUAACCCAGUCACAAUUUAGUUACAACAGUAAAUAGUUAGUUGUGGUAUUUGUGUAAUUAGUUGUAGAAGAUAAGGUCACUUAUGUAAAGAGUCUUAGUGACUAUAUAUAUCUCAAUGUACUGUCAGUUAAAAUAUAAUGAGAAAUAUCUUCUUCAACAUUUCUA